Molecule: long non-coding RNA, 380 nt
Filed under: Vulpes vulpes (red fox)
Lineage: Eukaryota; Metazoa; Chordata; Mammalia; Carnivora; Canidae
Description: lncRNA (ENSVVUG00000006682.1)
Source: RNAcentral
GAGCAAAAGGAAAAACUCCAAACCAAACAAACAAAAAAGGAAAAGUGUUGGGACUUUCUAGAGGCUGAGGCCCAAGACCUUCGAAUUGGGUCUAAGAUGCUCUGAAGUCCAGGGAUCUGCAGUGGAAGGGAUUUGAGAUUCCCACCCGACGUGGCAUCUCUGUCGUCUCCUUUUUGGGUGUCCCAGGAACCGCGUUUUGCAUGUAUUGGCACAAAGCUGACCCAAAUGUAUGGGAAUUCUCCUACUCUGACACCCUGCUGUGGAUUUCCCGCCUCGUCCCACUGCGUCUGCAUUAGCCGUGCCUUCCACCAGACGAGAGAGGGCCCUUUAUAGAUGAGCAGAUCCACCAGUGCCAGUGCGACCUGCUAAGUACACCGUCU